UCGGGAAUUUUGGGCAAUGGGCGAAAGCCUGACCCAGCAACGCCGCGUGAAGGAUGAAGUAUUUCGGUAUGUAAACUUCGAAAGAAUAGGAAGAAUAAAUGACGGUACUAUUUAUAAGGUCCGGCUAACUCUGUGCCAGCAGCCGCGGUAAUACAGAGGUGGCAAGCGUUGUUCGGAAUUACUGGGCGUAAAGGGCGCGUAGGCGGCCCUCUAAGUCAGACGUGAAAUCCCCCGGNUUAACCUGGGAACUGCGUCUGAUACUGGAGGGCUUGAGUAUGGGAGAGGGAUGUAGAAUUCCAGGUGUAGCGGUGAAAUGCGUAGAUAUCUGGAGGAACAUCAGUGGCGAAGGCGGCCCUCUGGUCCAGUACUGACACUCAAGUGCGAAAGCGUGGGGAGCAAACAGGAUUAGAUACCCUAGUAGUCCCUGAGCGGGCUGGCAAGGCGCAU
This 447-nucleotide ribosomal RNA is filed under the name uncultured bacterium. Its description in RNAcentral is "bacterial SSU rRNA". It matches the Rfam family "Bacterial small subunit ribosomal RNA", at positions 355 to 825 of the family's 1533-position model. The record is from RNAcentral.